ACAGUUGGAAAGUCAGGGUCGUUGUGGACUGGAGAAGCAUUUUAUCUACUUUUCUGGAUGGAUUUCAAAAAUUUAGUUUUGGCGUUUGGUCAUUACCAACAAGACCAAUGUAUGUUGCCGAUCCCCAGGCGCCUGUGGGGAAGAUGAUGUCUGAGUUUCUUGAACCCCUGCUGCCGUCCCUAUGGUGCAGGUGCUCCUGCAAAGCAGAUUUUAAGCGCCCUCGUCAUGCGAUCACGAACAAGCAGCAAAAACAGGAUUAUCGACCCUAAAACAGGAGCAGGAAUAGGUUAAAGUCGCACACGAAUAUAUCCGUGAUGUGGUUGCACGCAACCGUAAUUCAGAAUGCCACUGAUGAUAGGGCAUUACCUUUAGGUAUUGCAUUGCCACAAUGAUGAUGAUAACUAAGGAAGGAAUACAGACCAAAGAUGUGGCUAUGCUGAAUACUACCAAGACAAUGGACUUCUCGUGGAACAACAAAAGAAAUUGUAACCUUACCACACAAUGAAAUAUUGACUUUAAGAACGCUGUUACAACAAUCUAUUUCUGAAUGAAUUGUUAUUUUGAGCUGACAUUCUGUGGCCUGAAAGGAUUGAUGGAAGAUAAGUGAGCAUUUCUGAUUCAAACCUCCCUUCAUGGAAGUAGGAAAGAUACAAACAAAUAUACAAACAUCUUCAUAAUUAAAGUGGUGUCCCUAUGGGCAUUAUCUG
Molecule: long non-coding RNA, 707 nt
Organism: Stegostoma tigrinum
Lineage: Eukaryota; Metazoa; Chordata; Chondrichthyes; Orectolobiformes; Stegostomatidae
Exons: 3
Source: RefSeq, a predicted model, not a curated record